This is a long non-coding RNA of Arabidopsis thaliana (thale cress), 1865 nucleotides long. RefSeq annotates it as other RNA. The transcript has a single exon. Lineage: Eukaryota; Viridiplantae; Streptophyta; Magnoliopsida; Brassicales; Brassicaceae. The record is from RefSeq.
UAAGAUCCAAGUGAGAAGAACACUAUAGAUUAUUGCAACUUGUAAGUACAUCUUUUAAAAUUGUCAUUAAAGCCAGCCCAAAUGAUAGUGGAAACAAACAGGCCUUUUCUAAUGGGCCUAUUUGGAUACGGAAAGCCCAAUUAGGUCGAUCUAAUCGUGUGACAUGUAAGGACUUUAUUAACCACCGUUUCAAAAUUCACGUACGAUGAUCCCAACGGUGGCGCCGAAGCUUCUUCCGCCAAGCGCCGCCACUCCACCACCUUCUCUCUUAACCUCUUUCCCUUCUCUCCGUCCAUGAGCUCUUUAACCACCGUCUCCACUCUCUCCCUCUUCACCUCCUCGCCGAUCUCCAUCCCAAUCCCCCAAUCCUCGCAACAGAACUUUCGAUUCGUCAACUGAUCAGCAAAAAAUGGCCAACAGAUCAUCGGAACACCGGCGUACAAACUCUCCAACGUCGAAUUCCAUCCACAGUGAGUCAAAAAUCCUCCAAUCGCCGGAUGCGAAAGUACCUUCUCCUGAGAACACCAUCCUUUAAUUAACAUUCCUCGAUUCUUCGUCUCCGAUAAAAACUCCGCCGGAAGAAUCGAAUCAUCUCCGUCGACCAUACCAGAUCUCACCACCCAGAGAAACUCUUUCCCGCUCCUCGCUAAACCCCAAGCGAACUCUAAGAUCUGCUCACUAGUCAAAACCGUUAGACUCCCGAAGUUGACGUAAAUCACAGCUUUCUCAGCUUUAGUAUCUAGCCAAUCCAAAGACUCCGUCUCUUCUUCCCAGAGAUUCAAUCCUAGCUUUCUGAUUUCGCUGUUCUUAUCGAUUUCGCGAUUCUCCAGAAUCUGGAACGGUCCAACGGAGUAGAUCUGAGGGAGAAGAGAUCGCAGAGAUAAGAGAACGUUAUGCUCGAGUUUUUCGAAAGUGUUGAUGAAGAUCGCAGAAGCUCUUUUGAUUCUUCCGGUUACAUGAAGGAUGAAACUAAUCAUCGGAUCUUGAGGAUUCGUCGUGGUGACGAAAUCUGGAAAAUCCUUAAGCUUAAUCUUCUUCAUCGACGGUAUCCAAUCAAUCUCCGUCUCUAAAUGCUUCUUCAAGUCACUCGAAUCUGAUGGAAUUCGAAAUUGUUAAUUGAGAAUUUUUCAGUUGAUGAUCUUCAAUCGAUUCGUACCUUUGAGGGGAAUUAUCUCUUUCUCGAUGAGUUUUUGGUAAUGGAGAUACAAGAUUAAAGCAGUAGCACUGUUGGUCCAGAGGAGAACUACCGGAAUUUUAAGCUCCUCCGCUGCGUCAAUUGUGAAGCUCAUUGAAGCGUCGGAGAUGAUACAGCUAACCGGUGGUAUAUCAGAACCGGAGUUUAACCGGAGGAUGAGGUCUUUGAAUGGAGCUAAACAGUUGUUUAUUGUGGAGUCAAUAAGCUUGAGCAUGUCUUGCUUAGCGUCGACGUCUGUCCAAGGAAGACCGUCGGGGAUAGUCUCGAAGCGAAACGAGGGGAGACCGUUGAGAGCGUGAGGGCCACGUGAUUGGAGGAUACGGCGGUGGUUGUAGUCGGUGUUGACGAAAGUGACGUGGAAGCCUCUAGCGUGGAGGAGCUUGGCUAGUUUCAGCAUUGGGUUGAUGUGGCCUUGUGCUGGAUAAGGUAUGCACAUUGCGUGAGGUUUCUGUGAGCUAGAACCGCCAUGUUGUUCCAUCCUUUUGACGAUGACGAUGAUGAUGAUGAUGGAUUCCGCAACGUUGAGUCACUCAACUUGAGUGUAUCGUCCCAUAAUUGAUAGUGGAAGAAGAGAGAGUGAUACUUUGGAACCUCUUGGUAUAGUUUUGGAUGAGGAGGAAGAAUACUUGUCGGUUUGUGAUUAUAUAAUAGCCGCCAUAAGGCUCGUUUC